GGAGACGUGGCCGAGUGGUCGAAGGCGCUCCCCUGCUAAGGGAGUAACGUUAACGCGUUCGAGGGUUCGAAUCCCUUCGUCUCCGCCA
Molecule: transfer RNA, 88 nt
Filed under: bacterium
Lineage: Bacteria
Also listed under: 1 other name
Description: tRNA-Ser
Rfam family: tRNA
About the family: Transfer RNA (tRNA) molecules are approximately 80 nucleotides in length.
Source: RNAcentral